GAAGUAUUAGUAUAGCCAAUACAUAACUUUGUCAAAGUUAAAACAUAAACUAACCUUUAUAUACUUCU
RNAcentral lists this transfer RNA (68 nucleotides) under Petrosaltator rozeti (North African sengi). RNAcentral describes it as "tRNA-Asp". The record is from RNAcentral. Lineage: Eukaryota; Metazoa; Chordata; Mammalia; Macroscelidea; Macroscelididae.